This 468-nucleotide ribosomal RNA is filed under the name uncultured bacterium. RNAcentral describes it as "partial 16S ribosomal RNA". It matches the Rfam family "Bacterial small subunit ribosomal RNA", at positions 28 to 507 of the family's 1533-position model. The record is from RNAcentral.
GACGAACGCUGGCGGCGUGCUUAACACAUGCAAGUCGAACGGAAAGGCCCUGCUUUUGUGGGGUGCUCGAGUGGCGAACUGGUGAGUAACACGUGAGUAACCUGCCCUUGACUUUGGGAUAACUUCAGGAAACUGGGGCUAAUACCGGCUAGGAUCUCCUGCUGCAUGGUGGGGGUUGGAAAGUUUCGGCGGUUGGGGAUGGACUCGCGGCCUAUCAGCUUGUUGGUGGGGUAGUGGCUUACCAAGGCUUUGACGGGUAGCCGGCCUGAGAGGGUGACCGGCCACAUUGGGACUGAGAUACGGCCCAGACUCCUACGGGAGGCAGCAGUGGGGAAUAUUGCACAAUGGGCGGAAGCCUGAUGCAGCAACGCCGCGUGCGGGAUGACGGCCUUCGGGUUGUAAACCGCUUUCGCCUGUGACGAAGCGUGAGUGACGGUAAUGGGUAAAGAAGCACCGGCUAACUACGUG